Oryza barthii is the source of this 204-nucleotide non-coding RNA. NCBI's taxonomy places the organism in Eukaryota, Viridiplantae, Streptophyta, Magnoliopsida, Poales, Poaceae. The record is from Rfam.
UUUAAGUGCAGCCAUAAACUUCCGUAUCUAAUUUUAAUUAUUCGUUUAUUUAAAAAAUUUAUAAUUAGUAUUUUUAUCGUUAUUAGAUGAUAAAAUAUAAAUAAUACUUUAUGUGUGACUUGUGUUUUUAAUUUUUUCUAAAAAAACUUUUUAAAUAAGACGUACGAUCAAAGUUUGGCAUGAAAAAUUAUAUCAACACUUAAA